CGUGUAGGCGGUUGGGUAAGUCAGAUGUGAAAGCCUUCUGCUUAACAGAAGAAGUGCAUUUGAAACUGCUCGGCUAGAGUACGGGAGAGGAGAGUGGAAUUCCCGGUGUAGAGGUGAAAUUCGUAGAUAUCGGGAGGAACACCAGUGGCGAAGGCGGCUCUCUGGUCCGAUACUGACGCUGAGACGCGAAAGCGUGGGGAGCAAACAGGAUUAGAUACCCUGGUAGUCCACGCCGUAAACGAUGGGCACUAGGUGUAGGAGGUAUUGACCCCUUCUGCGCCGAAGCUAACGCAUUAAGUGCCCCGCCUGGGGAGUACGGCCGCAAGGCUAAA
RNAcentral lists this ribosomal RNA (332 nucleotides) under uncultured bacterium. Its description in RNAcentral is "bacterial SSU rRNA". It matches the Rfam family "Bacterial small subunit ribosomal RNA", at positions 568 to 898 of the family's 1533-position model. The record is from RNAcentral.